Long non-coding RNA from Eleginops maclovinus (Patagonian blennie), 894 nucleotides. RefSeq lists it as uncharacterized. The transcript is spliced from 3 exons. Lineage: Eukaryota; Metazoa; Chordata; Actinopteri; Perciformes; Eleginopidae. The record is from RefSeq and is a predicted model, not a curated record.
AUAAUAUAGCCAUGUACACAUGCUUUGUCUAAAACUGUUCUCUAUUCUUACACAGCAGAACCUGGAUCAGGAUUCCUCUGACCACGACUCUGACGCACUUCCUCUAAGACUUCUUUAUUCGUACACCUCAGAACCUGGAUCAGGAUUCCUCUGACAACAGAUCUGAAAAUGCACAUUACAGUAAGCCUGCAUGCAGACCCUGAAUCCGAUCAACUACCACCAAAUUUGAGCCACACAACAGAGUCAUCAAUCUUCAGUUUUGAGGACAGUGUUGGUUUUGGUGUGUUUGAACCACUAUGGCAGUCUUUUACUGACUCUGAAUCCAAUGGUAGUGGAGAAGAAUUUCCCAUGGAAGACAGCACUGAUAAGUCAGUAAAUGAAGAAACACAUUUGGGAGUAGGUGAUAAUGAAAGGUUUCCUCCAGUAAAUUAUGAGCCACUUUACACAGGCUCACAACUAACCAAAGCUCAGAGUUUUUUACUUAUACUUUCAUAUGCUUUCAGACACUCACUUAAUGCGGUGGCCCUGUCUGAUCUUUUAGAUUUGAUUAAUAUCCACUGUCCAGAAAAUGUACUAACUUCAAAGCAUCUAUUCUUAAAAGAGCUUAAACCAAUACAAGGUAACCUAGAAUGUCACAUAUAUUGUCCCAACUGCGAAUAUUACAUCGGGGACCAAGACACUGAUGGGAAGUGUUCUGUAUGUAACUCUACAUGGGAUAGAAACAGCUCAUUGAAGAAUGGAAAUUUCUUCCUGUACUUACCCAUCCAAACACAACUGGAACAUCUUCUUCAAAGAGAAGAUAUUGCAUGUUGUCUUAAGUCAGGAAAUGGCAAAUGUAAUUCAGAAAAUUAUGAUCAUAUAUGUUGUAUCAUAUGUAUCAUAAUCUGAGCAAAG